This 8278-nucleotide long non-coding RNA is filed under the name Theobroma cacao (cacao). RNAcentral's name for it is "long non-coding RNA (TCAC_LNC003312)". Lineage: Eukaryota; Viridiplantae; Streptophyta; Magnoliopsida; Malvales; Malvaceae. The record is from RNAcentral.
CCUGCCAAAGUAAGAACAAAGGAAGAAAAAGGAAGAACAAGAACCCUAGGGUGAAAAUUCAAGAGAAAAUUGGUGGAUUUCAAGUAAUCAAGCAAUCAAAGGUAAAAUUUCUUGAUUUCGACUUGUGAUCUACCUUUCCCAUGCAUUAUUUUGCAUUUUUCAUGGUUGAAUCACAAGAUAUCAUGAAGGAUAGUGAGCUGAUCAAACCCUAAGAGAGAGGUUUUGAUGCUUGAUUUGGUUAGAUUUCAAUGUAUUUUAGUGUUUUUAGUUGAUUAGUGAUGUGUAGCAUGAAAAUCAAGCAAGAAAAAUUCAUGUUCUCCCAUCACCCAUCAUUGGCCAAAUUCUCCAUGUAGAAUAUUGAUGAUGAUUUUGAUUUUAGUUCAAGUGAUUUGGUUAGGAAUUAGUGAUUUGUAGUGUGAGAAUCAAGUAGGAAAAAUUGUAGUGUUGAUGCACCCACCAUGGCCGAAUUUUCCAAGAGAAAAUGUGAGGAUGAUUUUGCCAUAUUUCAAGUUAUUUAAUUUGUGUUUGAUGAUUUGGAGUGUUGGGAGAAAAAUGAAAUUAUUUGGAGUUGAAUUGGACGUAUUGGCCAAUUAAUCGAGUGAUAGAUCGAAUUAGGCCAAUACCGUUUAAUUUAGGUACACAAUUGAAUUUGUGUAGAACACCGUGUUUAGAUAAUAAUCUGAAUAAUUUGCAUCCCAUUUCAUACAUUAGUGUAAAGCUUGAAUUGGUUUUAUAACAAUUUAGCACAAUAUAGUAAAUGGCUUAUUGUGCAUUAUGUCUAGGUGGUGAGCAUUUUGGCAAAAGUAAAGAAAAAGUACCCGAGGAUCAAGAAUCGGAGUACUUGAAAAUUCGACUCCCGAAAUAGUGAGUAACCUUAUCAUCAUCUUAAUUAUCUAAAAUAUGUUUUAUUCGAUUUUGUGAAUUUUAUGGAAAAUGAAUUAAAUGAUUAAUUUUUAGGUUUUAUAAACAAAAUUUGAUUUAAUGAAAUGAUUUCAUAAAAUUGUUUUAAAAUUGAAUGAUGGUUUGAAAAUAGAGUAAUUGGAGACUGUUUUUGUGUGUUGUAAAUUCAUGAUUCUAAUUUAUUGCCUUAUGGCAAUAUUGGCAUGAAUGGUUGAUUUGAUAAAUAUGUUGCAAAUGCAUAAAUUGUUGAUUUGCCUUGAAAGGCUGUAAAAUAAAAUAAAAUAAAAUAAUUGUCAUGUCAUGCUAUUGCAAAUUUUAUUAUAUGGUGGGUUUAGCUUGCUGCAGUGGUCGAGUUUUCUCUGGACCAGCCUAUUAGAGGGGCACGAAAUCCCGUUAUAUUUUACCUCGGUUGGAGAGGCGAGUAGGGUAACUUCCAAGGUAUAACUUUAAAGUUCACUUCACUCCAAACCACCACGUGAGGGUGAACUCAGCCAACAUCAAGGAACGGCUAUGUUUUUAAAAUAAAAAACAUGAUUUAUGCGUACAUAACUUUUUAACAGCCUUGGCGGACUUGGUUGGGAUAGCCCUCGAUUAAAGUAUCCCUGAUAACUGGGUAUGAGAAUGAUUUUGGCACGAGCCAAAGUUUUAAGAAAUUCAUAAGCCAUGUUGAUAACUCGAUUUAUAUGAAUUGAUUUAAUUUGGUUGAAUCAAGUUGAAAGGUGAUGAAUUAUAGUAUGUUAAACUAUUUUAUCUAUCUCCAUUUACUCGACUUUAGAUAUUUUAGAUGGUAUUUGUUUACUCACUAGGAUUAUAUAAUCUCACCACCCUUCUUCCAUCCAUUUCAAGCUCAGAAUAGGCUGUAGAUAGCUAAUUUCAUCGAGGCUACCAUUGGAUUUGUAUCCUCCAAACUGUAGGUUCACAAUCUUCCUUACUUUUAGUUACUCGAGGGCCCACUGGUUAUUGUAAAUUAAAUUAAAUACUUUGGCUUACUGUAUUAUAGUAUGUAUGAAUUUAUUUUGUUUUUACGCUACUACAAAAAAUUUAUUUACGCAUAACUCUAAAAAUAUUGUUUUGUAAGAAAAUAGAAUAUUUUAUUGAAUAUUUCUUUUAUUUUUUUUAUUUUAUCCAAAUAAUCAAAAUUUCAUUUUAAAUGAAGGUUUUAGAUGUUUAAACUUAUUUUUGAUUAUGAAUUAUGUGUUUUGUACUUGCAUACUAUAUUUUUAGCGGAUUUCAAAUUUUUUGAGAAAAAAUGACCAAAAUGCCCUUGUGAGAAAAAAAUUAUUUUUCUAUUGUUUUUAUUUGAAAAUAGUUUAUAAUCUCUCAAAACAUAAUUUUAGUGACUAAUACUCACAGAGGAAGCGAGAAAAACUAAUGUUAAGCCUUGCGAGGUUUCGAUUGACAUUUCGGGUAAUGAAUGUCUAUCGGGACGUCGCGACGGUUGUCACGGGCUCGAUGGGAGUUCCAGGUCAUGACAUAUUGUGUGUUGACAAAGUUGAAAUUUAUUUUGAAUAUGCAUUUGAAUGUUAACUAUGUCUCCAUUGACCCUUAAUGUUUACAAGAUCUAAAGAUUUUGUAUGCAUCCAACUUUAGCUUAUAGGUUACCAUAAAUAACUUGACAUGUCAAAUGAAAUAUAUCCUAUAGCUUUAGUUAGCAAUGAAUGCCUAAUAUGCUUUGAUUGAAUACAUUUUUCUUGAAUCUUGAUAAUUCGUAUUCAUUGAUGAUUGAAUGUUCACUUUUAACGUACUCAUGAGUUGAGUGCUUUAUUUUCAAUAUUCCAUAACAAUUGAUAUCACUCAAGAAUCAUGAAUUAUUGAGAAAUAGCAUGUACAUUGAAUUUCAAUGCUUGCAUAUUUUUUACUAGUAUAUGUCUAUAUAUUUUUUAAAAAAAUUAUAUUCAUGCUUGCAUUUCGUAAAACAAACUAGAUUCAUGAUUAAUGAAGAUAACCAUUUUAGUUCUUAUAAUCAUGCUUAUGCUUGCUUGAUCAUAAUAUUCUUUUGCAUGAUUGCAAUAAGUGCAAAAUGCUUUUGUAAUGCUUCAUUAAUAAUGAUAUUUUUUUUAUGCGAAAAUUCUCCUGGAGUUGCUAAUGUCAUACAUGAUUUGAAGAAUAUUCCUUAAAAUACUUGCUAAUGAUGAUAUCGUUUUUAAUAUUUCUUAAAAUACUUGCUAACGAAUUAGAGAAUUUUUUGGAAAUGCUUGAUUGAUAUUGCUUGGUGAUACUUGCUAAACAGUGAUUGAGAAUAAAUAAUGAAUACUUGAUGAUGAUUAAUUAUUAAUAAUGUUGAAUGCUAAUUGAGAAUAAUAUUUGAUGACUAAUGAUACCUUAGACAUGCCUAGGAACUACUUUACAAAUAUUUCUUGAAAAUAUGAGUAUUUGAUGCAUAUGUUAAAAAUCUAUUUAAAUGCUAAUACUCAUCUACUUAAAUAUGAGUAGUCUAGGCUCAUGAUUUCUCUCCUAACAUUUGAUCUCUUAACAAUUAGUAAUUCAUUGGUUUCAUGAUUUCUCAAAGGGGGAGUAAAAUUAUGCUUUAAAGUAAUUAUUUUCCUUAUCCCUUCUCUUUUUAUCUAUUGAUUUCCUUCACUAACAAUUGAUAUUGACCUUAUGAUUUCUUAAGGAGGAGUUAAUCAUUGACAUAUAUGUUUGCAUGAAUUCUUUCAAUCAAAAUUGGUGUCAUUAACACUUGGUAUAUUCAACAACAAGUUGUGGUAAGAACCCAACAUUUGGUGUCUUUCACUAUUGGUAAUAUCUUUUAAACACCAAAUUGAUAUUAUGCUUUACAUUGCUUCUCACUUAUGCUUGAAUGUUGAAAUCAAGAAUUGAUAUCAAGUUUCUUAGUUCAUUCUAAAUAUUGAUAUCAAGCUUUAUGUUCAUUCAAUUCACAUCUAGCUUUAAAUUAGUAUCAAGCCUUAUAUUGUGUCUUCUCACUUUAGCUUUAAAAUUGAAUUAAGUCUUUCUUAAAUGUGUUUUGCAAUUAACAUAUUGAUAUGCUUGGUAUGCUUAAUGUCUAUUUAAAAAAGGGAGACUUCACUAGUUUUUUGCCAAUUGGUAUAAAAAGCUUUAAAAUGAUUUUAUCCUUCACAAUUGAUUUUUUGCUUAUUUGGUUUAACAAAAGGGGAGCUUUUCUUUAUGUCUAUCAAUUAGUUUAUUGAACUUUAUAUUGAUUUCUAAUAAUUGGUAUGUUCCUUAUUGUGCUUCUUAUGGUUUGCAAAUUGUAGUGUUUACUGUUCUUCUAUCUUCCUUUUUGAUAUAACAAAAAUGGGAUAGAUAUUGAGAAAAUUUACAUCUUCGAAAAGGAACAUUUGACCUUGUAGCUUUAAUCAAAUUUUGAACCUUGCAACUAUUGAGGUGGAGUUUUUCAAAUCCUUAAUAUUUUAUCAUCUAUCACAGUCUUUAUAAAAGCUUAACAUUUCAAAUCGAAGUACUUCAUGAUUAAACUUAGGGGGAGUAUUUUUACAAGCAAAUUUUGCUUUAAGUUUUUGGCAUAUCACAAAAGGAGAGUUUGUUAGAUUUAUUAACUAUAAAAAUUGAUUAUAGUUCUGAAAUGACAAAAAUGAUCAAAAUUACUAGAAUGAGUUUUGCACUUAAAUUAUUCAUAUUAAAAACUCUCAUGCAUUUGCUUUUGAAAUAUUUAAGUACUUAACAUAGUUUUAAAGACAUUGCACUCUUAAAUCUAUGGGUGUUUUGUCAUCAUCAAAAAAAAGGGAGAUUGUUUACUCUCUAUGUUUUUGAUGAUAACAAAACAUUUCUCAUUCUUUUAAGUCUAACUAUAUUACUUGAGUGUGCAAGGGUAAAAUUGUCAGUUUACUAACUAUCUUACUCUCCAAAUAUUCCAAGAUAAGUGUCAAUUUCAAAGACAGAGAUUUAAGAAAGUUAAAAGGCAUUUUUUUAAGUUUAAUCGACUGACAUAUUAGUUUAAUCGAUUAAUCAAGCCUAAAAAAAGGAUUCAAAACUUUAAAGAAGACUUUAAUUGGUUAAUAUAAGGUUUAAUCGAUUAAAGAGGUACUAGAAGAAAUAUAGAAUUAAUCGAUUAACUAUAGGGUUUAAUCGAUUAAAAUCCAAAUAGAAGGUAUUCCAAAGCUUCAAAGUGAAAAUUUAAAUUCAAGAUGACCGUUGAAGAACGCCAAUUGAAAAAUUUUGAAUUCAAGAGAACUUUAUGUAACACCCCCGAUUUUUUAUAUGAACUAUGUAAGGUGAACCAGGCCAAUUGAUGAAGUAAAUUGAACUUUUGGUGUAUUUGUUUAAGAAUUCAAGGAAUGCUUAUGUCCAUAAAGAUAUGGUUAAGGAAUGUAUGAGUAUGUAAAAGCUAAAACGAUGUUGUGUAUACACUUGGAACAUGAAUGAUAUAGUGCAUAUGUUUGGCACUAAGAUGAGUAUGAUAUAUAUGCAAAUUAUGCCAUGUUAAUUGAUAUGCUAUGUGACAUAAGGCAUGGAUGAGAAAUUGGUGUGCAUGAAAGACUUGUGUGUUGAUUUUAAGUGAAAUAGGAAUGAUUGGAGGUUGUGGGGAAGAUUUAGAAUGAGUUUAGACUUCAAAAGAACCAACUUUUAUGAAUUUGGACCUUAAAAGUCGAUCCUAGUGCAUGGAGGAUCGAAUCUGCGAAGUCAAGGGCUGGAGAGGAAAGUGCACUUACCUAGGAUCGAGUACAGACCCCUUGUAGUUGAUCCUAAGGUAGGAAGUGAGAGUAGAGGUAAACAAUCUGGUCUAGGAUCGAGUACCAAGCUCCCAUAGUCGAUCCUAGGUUGCCAAAUUAGUUUAAUUCGAGCUUAAAAGCCCAUAACCCGAAUUUUUUUCCCAUUUUCUCCCUAUUUUCUCAUUCCUUUACCAUUUCGUCUCAACUUUCACACCUUUCAAACCCAUUCAAUCCCAAUGAUAAAUCAUGGAUUUUGAAAGCUAAAGGAAGAGAUUUUACCUCCUAAAAGCUUAGUUGGAGAUUUUCACUUUCUCUCUCUAAAACCAAUCCUAGCUUCCAAGAAUGAAUUUUUGAAGCACUUGGAGUUGUUUGGAGUAAAUAUGGAAUUAGGGAAUGCUUCUAGAGGUGAGAUUAAGCACUUUGAUCGAUUGAUUUUCAAUUUGAACGAUUGAUAACUUAGAUUCAAAUUGAUCCAACUUUGGUUGAAAAUUAUCCUCUUGAGUGGAUUGGAUAUUUAGGGUAAACAAUAGAACAACCCAACUUCUAAGGUAUAGAUUAGCUCAUUGUUUAAGAAUUGGAGCUUAUUUUUUAAUUUGCUAAAGAUUUAGCUAUUUUUAGAAAAGCUGGAAAUAAUCUGGAAGUCAGGAUUUGGCUAUGAAAUGAAAAGUUAUGGCAUAAAUAUUAAUGUUCAUGUAUCGUUGAUGCUAGAUGAUCAUGAGAAUGAGAAUGAUGCUCAAGUACUAAGUGUACAAAUUGAAGCUAAGGCAUAAGUGAGUUGCAAGUACAAGUGUUCACAAAGAACCCUCGAAUUGUCAAGGUGAGUAAGAAAACUUUUAUUUAUAGGAGCAUAAUAACUAGGGUGCAUAUAUGCUUCAAUAAUGAUAAUGCAUAAUGUAUGCUAUGUAUGAGCUAUAAGCAUGUCUAGAGGUAGAAUUCGUAGACUAGAAAAUAUGUGAGAAUGAUGUGAUACGCCUAGAAGGAUUAUGCCUUGGCUAAUGAUGUUAAUACUAGUGUGUAUGUGAUAAAUAUGUCUAGAAAUGUUAUGUCUAGACUAGUAAUGUUAUGAGAAUUAUGUGAAUCACUUAGAAGGAUUGUCCUAGGCUAAAAAAUUAACAUGCCAAUGAUUAUGUUCUUCAGAUGAGAAAUAAAGCAUGAUUACGAAUGAUUGAAUAUGUCAUGAUAACUAGUAUGAUGAAUUAUACUUACGUUGAGGAAUAUGUUCCGUUUGUGGAUGGUUUCGGACAAUGAUAUGAUGUGAGAUAUGUAUGUUCUGUCCACAAAUGAUUCAGGACGAUAAUAUAGUGUGAGAUAUGUAUGUUCCGUCUGUGGAUGGUUCUAAAGGAUGAUAUAAUGUGAGAUAUGUAUAUUUUGUCCACCGAUGAUUCCGAACAAUGAUAUGAUGUUCAUUAUGCAUGUUCUGUCCGUGGAAAAAUUUCAGACAAUGGAUAUUAUGAGGUUGAGUGUUUCCAUAUCCUUGUGACUAUGUAUGUUCCGCCAGUAAGGAUGGUGGUUUUGUCCUGCCUAUGAUUCCCGCUUGAUGUGCGAUGAUGACUAUGUUCGUUUCUCAAGGACGGUGGUAAAUAGAGGUAGUGGUUGAAAUCUUGCUUGUGAUUCUCGCCUAUUAUGUACGAUGCCAUCCAUCAGGAAAUUACUCCAGAUGAUGAUUGUGAUGCCACUUAUGGAGAAUACUCCGGAUGAUGCCGUCUGUUGGGAUAUUUCCCAAAACAAGGAUUGUGAUGCCAUCCGUGGAGAGAUUGCUUCGAACGAUGACGUCCAUAUUCUGCUAAUUGCUUUGGCACUAGGCGUGAUUUGUUUCUCUAUCUACUAACCACCAUGCGUGAUUUGUUGAUGUCCAAGGGAGGACCACUCUAUGAUAUGAUAUAAUGAUUACGUCGUGGCAUGCCUUAGGUUUUGAAAUGUGAAAUAUGUUAUAUGAUGUCAUGAUAUGAUGAUUAAUGCAAAGGCUUGAGGUAAAAGCCAUAUGUAAUUGAUUUAUGAUUAUGAUAUGCAACAUGCUUGAAGAGCUAUGAUUUAGCAUCAAGGUGAGCACUUGAAGGUAUGUAUGCUAAGCCAUGUAUGUAGACGGCCAUAUGGUGGGCCAGUUCAUAUGGUAGAUUAUAUUGAUAAACGAUUAUGUUAGGAAUAAUGUUAAACAAAUAAGGUGAUGAUGACUAUACCACCUUAAUAUGUUAAUAGCCAAAGAUAUGCAGCGUAGUACGGUUGCCAUUAUAUGACAGACUAUGUUCAAUAGGUGAUUAUUGACUUGUCUUAUUUGUAUAUGUACUAUGACGUGUGAGAUGCAUGCAUAAUUAAAGGAUAUGUGUAGCAACUAUCCCUACACAUUUACAACUAUUUUAUGCUCCCACUCACUGAGUACUAAUAUGACUCACCAAUUUCAAUUGUAUUGUGCAGAUAAAUAGACAUCGAGAAUUGGGUGACUUAGCGUUGUCAACGUCAGACAUGCAAUUUUGACAAGUGGUAUGUUAUCCGCUGACAAUGAAUCUUCACUGUGUCACAAUUUGAGUCGUAGUUAUGUGCACUUCCACUAUAUAUAUAAAGUAUGUCAUAAAGGAAAUAUGAUGGCAUGCAGUUGCCUCAUGUUAUAUAAUAGAUGUUUAAUGACUGGAAAAUUAGCCAAUGUAUGGCUAUAUGUAUGUUGUGUUUAAGUCCUAAAUGUUAUUACGAGCCGAGGGGUUAAUGUUGAAUGCUAAAAGAUUUAAGUUUAAUGAAAUGAUGCUAGUUAUGAGGCA